AUACGAAUAUGGGACACAAUUGAAGCUCCGUAAUUCGUAUGAGUACAAUUUAAAUCCUUUCAAGAGGACCGAUUGGAGGGCAAGUCUGAUGCCAGCAGCCGCGGUAACUUGCAAUAA
Molecule: non-coding RNA, 117 nt
Organism: Schistosoma margrebowiei
Lineage: Eukaryota; Metazoa; Platyhelminthes; Trematoda; Strigeidida; Schistosomatidae
Source: Rfam